RNAcentral lists this ribosomal RNA (394 nucleotides) under uncultured bacterium. RNAcentral describes it as "bacterial SSU rRNA". It matches the Rfam family "Bacterial small subunit ribosomal RNA", at positions 30 to 426 of the family's 1533-position model. The record is from RNAcentral.
AUUGAACGCUGGCGGCAUGCCUUACACAUGCAAGUCGAACGGCAGCACGGGAGCAAUCCUGGUGGCGAGUGGCGAACGGGUGAGUAAUGUAUCGGAACGUACCUUUCAGUGGGGGAUAACGUAGCGAAAGUUACGCUAAUACCGCAUAUUCUGUGAGCAGGAAAGCAGGGGAUCGCAAGACCUUGCGCUGAUUGAGCGGCCGAUAUCAGAUUAGCUAGUUGGUGAGGUAAAGGCUCACCAAGGCGACGAUCUGUAGCGGGUCUGAGAGGAUGAUCCGCCACACUGGAACUGAGACACGGUCCAGACUCCUACGGGAGGCAGCAGCGGGGAAUUUUGGACAAUGGGCGCAAGCCUGAUCCAGCCAUGCCGCGUGAGUGAAGAAGGCCUCGGUUGU